Long non-coding RNA from Solanum tuberosum (potato), 974 nucleotides. RefSeq lists it as uncharacterized. The record is from RefSeq and is a predicted model, not a curated record. Lineage: Eukaryota; Viridiplantae; Streptophyta; Magnoliopsida; Solanales; Solanaceae. The transcript is spliced from 4 exons.
GGUCCGUAGACCCAAAUAUUGGGCCGUAAUCGGUCCCGACCCGCUCCAUUGAUAGGCUGGUGGCACAAACAGCAAACCUAUGGAUUCAUUGAAGUGAAGAAAUCAAGAAAACGGAGAAGAAGCAGUAGAAUCAGUAUUGCUUGGGCUAAUAGGAAUUGAAGCAGUGUUACAAGGGUAAAAAUGAAAUUCUGGGAUUGGUAUUUGAAAAUUGCUGUUGUUUCGGCCAUGAUUGGAGGUUCCAUGGAGUUUUUCAUGAUUAAGACUGGAUUUUAUGAUAAGGUUACUGUUCUAGAAGCGGAAAAGAGAGCCUGGGAGAAUUCUCCUGAAGCCAAGGCUGUCAGAGACGCUCUUAAUCCAUGGAGACAUCAGGAUGCAGAAGCAAGAAAGGAUUCUUAGUUCUGUCACUUCGGUUAGAGAAUUAUAAGGCGACUCAGGGAUUGGCUUUGAAGGAAAAUUGUCCUGACGUAGUGCUAUUUUGAGCUUGCUCCUAUUGAUAUUUCUCAUUGAUGUUUAUUGAAGAGUGUGUUACAACUUACAACUGAUUGUUUCAUCAGCUUGGUGGUCGCUUCACUUAGCAUGUGAUGAACAAGUUCUGUGAAGGCAAUUGGGCAUAUAUCAAAUUGUAAAACUUGUGGAACCCUACUUGUUAUUUUCCUUGCUCUCUCAAGAUUAGUACUUUGCUUUCCUAGAUCUGCAUGGUUAAGAGAAGCAAUCAGUUGCACCUCUGAGAAAAAUAGUGGACUCUGAAUCUGACCGCACUUUCCUCAGGUCGAACGGCUAUCGAUCCUGGCCCGAUGAGAAAAGGGUUGAACUCAUACUUGCCUUAACCUAAUCUACUUGGAUCCCGGAUUCCAUUCCAUAGCCAUUUGACAAUAUGUAGUUAUUCCACUAAUGUUUGUUUCUCUCCCAUUCAUUUGUGUGAGAGAGGGUUGAUUUAUACCUUUGCUCCUCUCAUAGUUCCUUAAAAUGCUGAA